UACGUAGGGGGCCAGCGUUGUCCGGAUUCAUUGGGCGUAAAGCGCGUGUAGGCGGCCAGGUAGGUCCGAUGUGAAAUCUGGAGGCUCAACCUCCAGCGGUCAUUGGAAACCAUCUGGCUAGAGUCCGGAAGAGGAGAGUGGAAUUCCUGGUGUAGCGGUGAAAUGCGCAGAUAUCAGGAAGAACACCAAUGGCGAAGGCAGCUCUCUGGGACGGUACUGACGCUGAGACGCGAAAGCCAGGGGAGCAAACGGG
This 253-nucleotide ribosomal RNA is filed under the name uncultured bacterium. Its description in RNAcentral is "partial 16S ribosomal RNA". It matches the Rfam family "Bacterial small subunit ribosomal RNA", at positions 524 to 776 of the family's 1533-position model. The record is from RNAcentral.